UACGUAGGUGGCAAGCGUUGUCCGGAUUUAUUGGGUUUAAAGGGUGCGUAGGCGGUGACUUAAGUCAGUGGUGAAAUACGGCAGCUCAACUGUCGAGGUGCCAUUGAUACUGGGUUACUUGAGUACUGAUGAGGUAGGCGGAAUGGACGGUGUAGCGGUGAAAUGCUUAGAUAUCGUCCAGAACACCGAUAGCGAAGGCAGCUUACUAAGGAGUAACUGACGCUGAUGCACGAAAGUGUGGGGAUCAAACAGG
RNAcentral lists this ribosomal RNA (253 nucleotides) under uncultured bacterium. RNAcentral describes it as "partial 16S ribosomal RNA". It matches the Rfam family "Bacterial small subunit ribosomal RNA", at positions 524 to 776 of the family's 1533-position model. The record is from RNAcentral.